CCGAGUGUUACAGCUCCCAAACCCACUGUGAACAUACCCAUCGUUGCUUCGGCGGGACCGCCCCGGCGCCUCUGCGCGCCGGACUCUGGCGCCCGCCGGGGGCCCGAAACUCUUGCCUCUUCUCGCGGAUUCUCUGAGUGGCACCAAAAGAUAAUGAAUCA
Molecule: unclassified non-coding RNA, 161 nt
Filed under: uncultured Sordariomycetes
Lineage: Eukaryota; Fungi; Ascomycota; Sordariomycetes
Description: sequence contains ITS1
Source: RNAcentral